CCCAUCUGACCACCCGUGAAUCUUUGCUAACCCGUUUCUUAGUGAACCUGCGGAAGGAUCAUUAUCGAGUUAGGGUCUUUCAGGCCCGAUCUCCCAACCCUGUGUCUACCCGACCACUGUUGCUUCGGCGGGCCCGCCUCCCUGGAGGCCGCCGGGGGUGUCCUCCCUGAGAGGCCCUCUGGCCCGCGCCCGUCGACGGCCCCAACCACAAAACUCGUGAAUGAAACAUGCCAGUCUGAAUGUACAAAAGCAAAGCAAAAAACUUUCAACAACGGAUCUCUUGGUUCUGGCAUCGAUGAAGAACGCAGCGAAAUGCGAUAAGUAAUGCGAAUUGCAGAAUUCAGUGAGUCAUCGAAUCUUUGAACGCACAUUGCGCCCUUUGGUAUUCCGAAGGGCAUGCCUGUUCGAGCGUCAUUUCACACCCCUCAAGCGUCUGCUUGGUGUUGGACUCGUGGUCGCGGGGCGCCUGCCCACGCGCGACCGGUCCCGAAGACAAUGACGGCGUCCGGAGGACCCCCGGUACAAUGAGCUUUUGCGAGCACGUACCGGCGCGGGACCGCCUGGACACGGCCUCUUUGAUUUACCUAAAGGUUGACCUCGGAUCAGGUAGGAAUACCCGCUGAACUUAAGCAUAUCAAUAA
RNAcentral lists this ribosomal RNA (641 nucleotides) under Rhinocladiella sp. FMR 12063. RNAcentral's name for it is "eukaryotic LSU rRNA". The stretch from base 261 to 414 matches the Rfam family "5.8S ribosomal RNA". The record is from RNAcentral. Lineage: Eukaryota; Fungi; Ascomycota; Eurotiomycetes; Chaetothyriales; Herpotrichiellaceae.